GAAAUCUGUUAGCUCCGAAAAAGCUGUAGUUGAACUUGAAGGCUUGAAAAUAAUGGAAGAAUGCUGGUGGAACAGCUGGUUUUCAGUAUAUGUGCUGCGACUUUAACUUCUUAUUUUCUAGUAUUUGCAGAGUCAAUCACAUACAAGGAACUCCUAUUUUCUUGUUUCUGAUCCAGACUUGGCUGGAUCUCCCCCUAGGCGUGUACCUUCUCCUAUUACUGUGCGCCAAGCCACUAAUGCAUCUUAAUCAUCGAGUGUAAUGGGAUUGGGAAGUUCAAGUGUUGAGAAUGCCACAAAAUUUGGGGAUGACUGUGGUCCUAGAUAUAAAGUAGCAACAAAUACACCUACUAGGCCUUCACAAAAUUCAGAAAUUCCUCCACUUGGUUUACCUAGCCUGAGCACAGGAUUGUCUGAUGAUGACUUGCGGGAAUCAGCCUAUGAGUUAUUGCUUGCUUCUAUAUUUUUGUCUGGGGUUGGAACUCUUUUCUUUCUUUCUAUCGUCAACUGAAUAACUUCCAACCCCAGACAAAAAUAU
This 535-nucleotide unclassified non-coding RNA is filed under the name Hevea brasiliensis (rubber tree). The record is from RNAcentral. Lineage: Eukaryota; Viridiplantae; Streptophyta; Magnoliopsida; Malpighiales; Euphorbiaceae.